Engraulis encrasicolus (European anchovy) is the source of this 299-nucleotide long non-coding RNA. RefSeq lists it as uncharacterized. NCBI's taxonomy places the organism in Eukaryota, Metazoa, Chordata, Actinopteri, Clupeiformes, Engraulidae. The transcript has 3 exons. The record is from RefSeq and is a predicted model, not a curated record.
GCAGACAGCAGACAGGAGAGGAGGAGCAGAGGAGGAGGAGACAGUGGAAUAUUCUAACCAGAGCCAUGGGGGUAAUGGCUCUGAUACUACCUGUACAGAAACCCCGCCUACAACUACAGCUGUGUCUACACCUGUGUCUUGUACCUGUUCGGAGACCCUCUCGUCACCUGUGUCCUGCACCUGUACAGCACCGGUGGAAAAGUCUUUCUCUACACGUGUGUCUACACCACCUGCAUCAACAGAUGUCUCUACGACUGCUGCGUCUGUGCCAGCCUCACCUGUCCUCACCCGGGCAAAGG